CUCAUCCUCAGGGGCUAUUCUGAAAUAAUUAUUUUUUCUGUGUGGGUGGGUACAUUAAAAUACGUCUCUUACAGAUGGGCAGAUGGAGUGCUGGCUGUGCACAUCGGCUUCACCCAAACCAGUCUGUGGUCACUCAUGCCAGGGACCUGCUGCAGGCCUUCUCACCUUUGGGGAGCUUAUGGUGUCCUUUGAAUCUUCGAACAUUCUUCAGGACUGAUAUUUAUGCCUGCUGGAGCCUGAGGAGCUGUUGGGUUGUUUAACAUCCCUACCCUUGGCUGGGUCAUGCUGCACAAUCGCUCAGGUUCCCUCUGUAAAACCUUCAGAUUGUUCUGCCAAACAAAUACAGUCUUUGGGAGGAAGAGAAGAAAGAGGAGGAAGCAAGUUGGGGCUGAGGGAAGCUCCUUACCAGAGCUGGGCACAAAGGGGAGCUCUGCAGAGUGGAGUGGCUGG
RNAcentral lists this long non-coding RNA (450 nucleotides) under Gallus gallus (chicken). The record is from RNAcentral. Lineage: Eukaryota; Metazoa; Chordata; Aves; Galliformes; Phasianidae.